Molecule: transfer RNA, 85 nt
Filed under: Ruminococcus sp.
Lineage: Bacteria; Bacillati; Bacillota; Clostridia; Eubacteriales; Oscillospiraceae
Description: tRNA-Leu
Rfam family: tRNA
About the family: Transfer RNA (tRNA) molecules are approximately 80 nucleotides in length.
Source: RNAcentral
GCGGGUGUGGUGAAAUUGGCAUACACGGCAGUUUUAGGUGCUGCUUCCGAGAGGAGUGCAGGUUCAAGUCCUGUCACCCGCACCA